AUACGGAGGGUGCAAGCGUUAAUCGGAAUUACUGGGCGUAAAGCGUACGUAGGCGGUUCGUUAAGUUAGAUGUGAAAGCCCCGGGCUUAACCUGGGAACUGCAUUUAAAACUGGCGAACUAGAGUUGAGUAGAGGGGAGUGGAAUUUCAGGUGUAGCGGUGAAAUGCGUAGAGAUCUGAAGGAACACCAGUGGCGAAGGCGGCUCCCUGGACUCAAACUGACGCUGAGGUACGAAAGCGUGGGUAGCAAACGGGAUUAGAUACCCUAGUAGUCC
RNAcentral lists this ribosomal RNA (274 nucleotides) under uncultured bacterium. Its description in RNAcentral is "partial 16S ribosomal RNA". It matches the Rfam family "Bacterial small subunit ribosomal RNA", at positions 523 to 796 of the family's 1533-position model. The record is from RNAcentral.